Danio rerio (zebrafish) is the source of this 74-nucleotide non-coding RNA. NCBI's taxonomy places the organism in Eukaryota, Metazoa, Chordata, Actinopteri, Cypriniformes, Danionidae. The record is from Rfam.
GGCCGGUUAGCUCAGCUGGUUAGAGCGUGGUGCUAAUAACGCCAGGGGCGCGGGUCCAAUCCCCGUAAUGGCCA